Molecule: long non-coding RNA, 491 nt
Filed under: Aotus nancymaae (Ma's night monkey)
Lineage: Eukaryota; Metazoa; Chordata; Mammalia; Primates; Aotidae
Description: lncRNA (ENSANAG00000038995.1)
Source: RNAcentral
UACCGUGUUUCCUAAGAUUAUGUCAUUUUCCUCCAUGUUAAAUUCGAAUGUCUUUGAAAGGAUGUGAGAAAAUCAAGUGUAUUAACACAUUUUUUAUAUCCAUGUUUUUUUCCAAUACAAGUUUUUUCUAUUUUCAAAGAGAGCUGGGAAAGUUGCAUGCUUUCUUGUAUUUCUUCGAUUGAAAGCGUUCUGUCCAGUGAAUGAGUUGGAAAGGCAAUUCUUGAAGCUAAUUAAUUAUAAUAUCCAAGUUCCUGGCAGCAUUUACACCAAAUACUACUUUGAUCUUUGCACUUUGGCACAGGACCAUGCUGUUUGCCUCUUUAUCUCCUUGACAGAGAAAGAACACGGAAGCCGGAGCGUGUGUACGAUGAAGAAGUGGAGGAGCCAGUACUGAAGGCUGAGGCAGAAGAAACAGAGCAGGUACUUGUAUGAAAUCACUCUUGAGCUGAGUUUCUGACUUUGAGAAAUGUAGAGAUCGAUGUAUUAUGAGG